Molecule: long non-coding RNA, 3528 nt
Organism: Melospiza georgiana
Lineage: Eukaryota; Metazoa; Chordata; Aves; Passeriformes; Passerellidae
Exons: 6
Source: RefSeq, a predicted model, not a curated record
GUGCCCGGCGCGGGGAGUUGAUGAUUAACCUGCGGGCCAUUGAGUGCCUGCCUAAAGUCGCGCCCAGGGUGGGGUUUAACCUUGUCCGGGGCUCGGUGCCUCCCGUGUGACUGCCCGAGACCCUGGGGCGGCCAGUUCUGCUGCUGCCGCCGAAGCGCUACAGGGAUGCGCAGCUCCCUGUUGAAAAUCUCUGCUCUAAAUCUCAGCCUAGAGCGCGCCUCGCAGUCGUUUUUGGAAGUUUCAGGUUCAAGAGGUCGAGGUGAUGUGGGGGUCUCGGCGAGCGUGUGUGCAGCAGCAGCCUCGGGCUGCAGGAGCGUUUGUGGCUGGCGCUUGAAUCCCUGCCGGCCCCUUUUCCUCGGGCUGAGCCGCAAGGAGCUCACAGCUGCGGCAUUUAGUUCAAUUACUUCAGAUGAUCUGUAAAUUUUCAAUAAUGGCAAUACAUUCAUUCUGCCAUUUGGAGGAGCCUGUGCCACAGAAUAAUGAUCUGAGGAAAGCUCACUCAUUUGCAAGGAAGAGUCUUCAUUUGGGAAUUAGCACUGAUGCAGCUCAAGGGUGCUUUUUCAAGUCCAGACUCUUUCAGCAGAACUGUUAUUUUCCUAACACAACCUCUGGUACAAGGAUAAAACUGGGUUUUUGUCAAAGAACAGAGUCCUGUAACUGAAGAUUAAGAAGGUCCUUGACAUUCAGUGGGAUGAGAAUCUCAGAACUGACUACUGGGGACUCCCAGGCUACAGAUCAGAAACCGUUUUGGUAGGUGUGGGUUGCUUGUCAGAAAUCCGUUCCGAAGCUUGAGUGCAAAGGAAGCAGGGUACUAAUGAUGAAUAAGAAUGGAUAUCUUGAGGAUAACAAUGGAUAUGGCAUCUUCAAAAGCAGUGGCAUUCUGGUCCUAGUCCUGUAACUGGAUUUGUUCAAAUGGACCUCAAGAGCCUGGGGGCCUGAUGAAGUCCAGGGGACUCUGGUGACUGCAGGUUCUCACUCUGAAGAUCUGAUUGUAGGCCUGAACCUUAAUUUCUAUUUUGUUUUCCUGUCUGUUUGCUUCUUAAAUGAUGAAAAUUAUCCUUUGAAAUGGUGUUGUCUUUGAGUCUCAUGCACAUCCACUUUAGUAGUGUUCAGACACUGUGUGUUUGGGAUGUUGUCAGACAUUGUUAAAAUAUUUCUGUUCUGUUGUGUGCCUAAACCUCCUGAUUGCUCUGAUUAUUGUAUUAGAUUUUUCUGUUUAGUGCCUUUCUACCUAAAAUAGAGAAGAUCAUCACCUGUGUUUUCAGUCGUGAUAUUUCUCUUAACUCAAAUUUUUAAGUCAGAGUAACUGUUGAAACUGUUCAGUUAUUUUUAAAGAUACAGGUAGAUUUGUUUAUUUCUUGCUGAACUCAAAGUAUAAUAUUUUAUUUUGCAAACUUGGUAGCCUAGUAUUACUAAAAGCUUACAGUACGAUGAUACUCUGAUGUAAUAAAAUAAGUAGGAAAUGACCCGUUACUAGCUCUCCUGUUGCUUUUCUAUUCCUGUGGCUGUGGUUACACAACAUUCGACUGAAAGUGAAGAUAUUUUUACUUUUUGAGCCAGUGUAUACCUUUUGUUGACAAUAAGUGCUGUUCCCUGUCCUAUUCCAUAUUGCAGUUUCACUGAAUAGCCUUGGUAGAAGCUGUAGAAAGGACUUUGAAAAAUCACAUGUAGAGUGUGAUCACAAAUAGAGUGUGAGAGAAAAAACAGAUGUGUUCUAUCUCUAUACAUGUUAGUAUUUAUGUUCUAUAUAUUUUUAAAGCAAGUGUGUAGCAGUGUAGGAUAAUUAAGAGGUCCAAAAGAUCCAAAACAUCCUUUCCAUACAGAGAAUCAGACAAACAUUUUUGGUUUUUGUAGGCUAAUUACAAUGAUAUUAAGGAGCUUCACAGAAUUUGAUUAAUUUUUGCAUAUUCCCUGAACAGAAAAGCACCAUUGUCCUGUUAGACCAAGGAGAAAACUGAGCCACUUGUUUAGUCAGUGGUAAAGUCAAUCAUAUUAAAUGGAUUCUCCUGCCUUUUAACCUUGUGCCUCUGACUCCAUUUUUCCCUCAAGACCAAAACCUUCCAUUGCCAUCAUCUGCUUUGCAUUUCUACGUGAAAGGCCCAAGGUGUUUGUGUUUGGACCCCCAGAAAAUGAGGAAGACAAGGUUGGUUGGCCACCUGCCAGGGCACGAGGUCUGACUCGCUCCUCGCUGCCGGGGGCUGCUGGUGAGGGCAGAGGCAGAACUGAGCGUUCUGUGUGGCGUUCAACUGCCUUAACCACAUGCCCAUCGCUCUCUUCCUGUAGUUGUCUGUCUUGUUCUCAGCAGAACUCCUAAAGACAACAUGUAUACCAACCAAUAAAUAAUCCAAUUUGAUGCACAGCCCUGAUUCACUUCCUGAGCUGUGUCCUGCACACACAGAGUGGCUGCAGUCCCAUGGAAAAAUUCAGCACAGUGCACAAGGCCAAAGAGUAAGGCUGUUAAGCGUCUUUAAACUUUGCAAUGAAGCAGUGUUCUUUUAAUGUCACUUAUUAUAGCCAUAGCUCAAAGUAUUUUUAACAAGAAACAAGAGGGAAAUGAAAGCUUUUAGAACUGAUUGUAACCAAUUCCCUGUGUAGCCUGUGAAUGUGAAUAUCCAGCUCAGUGAAACACAGAAUGUCAGCCGAUGGGAGGAGGCUGGCUACCUCCAGGGAGGAAGGGAAGGAAGAAGGAUGGGUGCUUAACACCAUGGCUGUAUCCAACUUGCUUCCAAGUCUCAGGGACUAUUUGUGAAAUGUUGACCCUAGCUCUUAGCUUUUGUUUUCUCUUCAGCAUUCCCAGCCCAAAAAUUAGCUCCUCCAGAGCUUCUCAGUGCAAUAGACAUUGGGAGUGUUGCUGUAGUCUGCUAAUCAUUUAAAUGAAGAAAAAGAAAUCAAGGAUGGGCUUUUCUCCUACGUUUUCUUGUUGAAAAAUAAGAGGAGAUGCUCUCAGUUCUCUCCACAAUGAAUUUCAGGGGCUAUGCUUCUGAUCCUUGAUCUCACAAAUAGAUGGCAAAAACUUUAAUAAUAGAAAAUUUUGCUCUUGGUUUACCUCUUUAAUCUUCUUCUCAGUCAAAUUGUAGUGGCCUUUUGUGUUUGUAAGCUACCAAGGAUGUUGUGUAGGCUCCAGGGCCAGAGCAAUUGUGUUGAGAACACAAGCUCAUCUUGUUAUCUUUUAUGUUAGUAUUUGGUAGCAUAAUAAGUUUUUUUCAGAGAAACCUUGCCAGAUCAUGGUCUGAGUUUCAGUUUUUGUUAAUGUCUGCUUUAUCUAUGGAUAGUGCUUGAGAUUUGGUCACCAAGCCUAGUGAUUUGAUAUGAGGAAAACAAAACAACCUCAUACUUUGCUUUUGCAUGCUUUUCUCUGGGAUAUACAGUCUUUUCUUGCAAGUAAUGCAGCAAGUUCCUGUAAAAAGAGCUGGUGACAAUACUGUUAGGGAAAAUUUGUUCAACCCAUUCACUGAAAUUCAUAAAAAUCAAAAUACUUGCAAAAGUGUUCACUGGCAUUUUAUUGCAAAAUAAAAAUGAAAACCCUGA